GAGGAAUUCAGCUCAAUGGGAGGAAGUGACCAAGAGUCAGAUCUAUUCCGAGAUGGGCUGGGCCGCCCCAGGAGGCACAGAAGGGCUGUAAUUCAUUCAACAAAUAUUUACUCAACACCCACCUCAUUGUGCAGCCUCAGUUCAGGGGCUGGGCAUCCCGCAGUGACCAAGACAGACCUGGUCUGGCCCUCUCAGAGCUCACCCUCUGCUGACGACGGCAGGCACCGAGAGCAUCAUGACCCCAUCGUUCAGCAUGUUGCAGUCCUGACGGGCACUAAGGAGAGGACAUGUUUCCACAGUGGGCUUCCUCCUGGACCACGCUGGUUUACUAACGGCCCUUCCGAAGCUUGUCAAGAGGCCUGGUCUUCACAGCUACUGGCUGCAGCCCUACCCUAGACACUAGGUUCUGUUAAUGCAGCCCAGGGCUGCCCUUGCAUUUAUAGGCCUGCAGGCUGCUGCUAAGCAUGGGAUCAGCCAAGCCCCCUGGAUCUGUGUGAGGGGUGCUUUGAACCCAAGAGCCUACAAGGGAAGCUGGGGCCGUGUCUGCUGCCUCUGAGGAAGGAAGUCUGGCUUUGAACAUCUUUGGGAAGCUGGACGCCUGCCUCAUGGGCCAUGCCUGGAGCAACACUGCCCCCUCAUGGCCUGCUCUUCAGGUGCAGUCAGUGGAUGUUCGGUGAACUCAGAGCUGCCCUGGGAACUCCACCCGCCUGGCCUGAGGUCCACAGAGCUGCCCUCAAGAACCCCACCUCUUUCCCCUCUGGAGGUCCAUAGAGCUCAGAACUGUCCUCAGGGAACCCCACUCCAUCUCUCCUGAGGUCCACAGAGCUGUCCUCUGGCAGCCCACCCCACCUUCCUUGAGGUCUACAGGCUGCCUCUCAGUCUGCCGUCACCCGAGUUCUUGCCUGUCUUUGGCAGCCUGUCAGUCUGUCUUCAGCUGUGUGUACCUGGGAGUGUCUCUCUUUUGGGCUUGUGUUAGCCUUUGCUGCCUGGGCAUAUCUGUCUAUCUGUCCUGCUGGCUUGGGCCGCCUGUCUCUCUGUGUCUGUGAUCAGCACCUCCUCUCUCUCUUUCCAUUGAUCUCCACCUCACUCUGCCCAGGUCCCUGUUUCUGCUGCUUUGUCUCUGACUUGCUCCCUGCAGCCCUCCGCUGUCCGUGUCCUGGAGCUUGGGUCAUGGCUGCCUUCCCUCCAGUGUGGGACUGAUUUGGCUUUUUCUGCGAUGAGUCAGGAACUCCUGGAGGGAUGAGGGCUCUGGCCCCGCCCAGCAGUGGCCUCAGAGAGGAUGCAGGAGGCAGGAGGAGCUUUGGGCCUGGCCGAGGACUGUGACAAGAGAUUUUCCAAAAUAUUCUCCUGGGGCUGGGGUGGGUGGAUUCCAGCAGAUGUCUAAGGAGAAUGAGCGAGCUGGCUGUCCACCAGCGUGGAGCUGUGCUGUGGGGCUGUUCUCGCUGCUGCCUGUGUACAGGGCUUUCCUAAUCUCCUCAAUCCUCACCUGGCUUUCUGUCUCCUCAGGGCCUUAGCACAAAUUGUUUCUCCUUCUUGGAAUAAUCUUCCCCCUGAACCCUCACCUUAGAAACCACUUCCUCUAGGAAGUCUUCCCUGAUUUACACCCUCUGGGAUGGGGCCCUCCUCUGUGCCAGGACAGCGCCCUCUACUUCAUCAGUGUUACCUGGUUACGGUCUGCCUGCCCGCCUUGUGUGUCUGUUGCUGUAUCUUCAGUGUGUGGCUCUUUCUGGCUUUCAGUAAAUACCUGUUGCAAGAACAUUCGGGAGUCCCAUCUGAUUUCACCAAAUGUUGCCUCCUCCUUGAAGCCUCCUCUCCCCUCUCUUCUCUUAGGACUGUGCUGCCCAAUAUUGUAGCCAUUAGUUACUUGUGACUAUUUACAUUUAAACUAAGUAAAAUUAAGAAUUCAGUUCCUCAGUAACGAUAGACCCAUUUCGAAUGCCCAGUGUCCACAUGUGGCUAGUGGCUACUGACCGACUGGACAGUGCAGAAACAGAACAUUGGCGUCAUGACAGACGGUCCUGUUGGUCAGCACCGUCUUAGGACAAUCUUUGGAAACUGCUCCUUUGUUCAGAUUCUUUCCCAUCCUCAGGGAGGAUUGGACCAUGAUGGGUCCCUCCCAGGAUUCCCAGGGCCUGCCACGUCAGGUGACACAUGUGUGACGGAUGGAUGGAUUGGUGGGUGGUGGCUCGCCCCCUGGGAGUCCCAAGGAAAGGGGUGGCGCAGGCUGCCUCUGAGCCGUCGGGGGGAGUUGUUGCUCUGCUCCAGGUUCUGUGCGUGAACAGAGGGCCUUUGGUGACUCUCAGCCUGAAACUUGAACUUGUGGGUGGCCGUCAAGAGACUUGGGGCUACAAGAGCAUAGGGGUUCUUGCAGCUUAGGUGAUGGACCGAAGGGCCUGACUUGGGGACGUUUCAUGAGCACUGAGCCGUGCUGCAGGGCAGAGGUAGCUGGGACGGCUGGCAGAGGAUGAACCACGGAUGGCGUGGCUGGACCCAGGCUUCAGGGCAGGCUGGAGGGGCCCAUCCCGUGCAGACUUGAGUUGCCAGAGAGGGGCCCGGGCCCUGGGAGAGGGCUGGGGCAGCUGCGAGGAUAGAGUGCAGCCUGGCCCAGGGCAGAAAGGAGUCAAGCAGGCCUGGGGGGCCCCCCGCCCCAAUCCCUCACCAGCAGCUGGGCUGGGACAGUCAUGGCGGUCAGGGUCAGAGCAGGGUCUGACCUCGCAGAAGCAGGAGGUCAGCGAGGGCCUCCGUUCUGUGCCUGUGGCUCCUCUCCACUCGGUACCCCAGAGGCUCCGGGCAGCCGUCCUGCUUUGUUCGGGCUGCUCUGAGGUGAAAGGGACCUGCUCACCCCUGGGCAGGAGAGGGGGCCGUCAGGUGGUCAGGCCCACCACACACAUACACACACGUGUGUACACACACAUUUACACAGACACACUCUCAUUCUUACAAACACACAUUCACACGCACAUCCACAGACAUACUCACGUAUACAGAAACACAGGCACGCACACACUCCCAAACAGGCACACAUACACACAUACCCAGUCCCUUAGUGGCUCCCGGUGUUCCCUGGAUGAUCUGUGAUUUCUGUCUGAGAAGCUCGGAACUGGCCUCCAGUUCCAGGACAGGGUGUGGAUUUGCGCCCACACCUGACCCACACCCGGAGCGAGGAGCCGGCUAGCAGUUGAGGCCCCAGGGAUGCUGUGGGAAUUAGGGGAGCCCCGCCAAGCUGCAGUGGGCACAGAGCUCCAGGGGGCAGAGCUGAAUCAGGCCUUGGAACUCAGGUAGCCUUCUGGGGAGGGGUGCGUGGCAGCUUCCAUGCGCAUAGACAGGGAAGCAGCCAGGUGCCAGGACAGGGCAGGGUGUCCCACACAGGUCAGGUGACACCCUCUUCCCGCCCCCACUUGCUCUGCCUAUUCCUGUCCUGCUCAUCCUUCCCUUUGGUUUCUCAGCAUCUUUGUGCCAGAGGCCCCAGAAGUUCCUGGAAAAUCUCCUGUUUGGCCUCUGGCCCAGGAACAGGCCCGGAGGAGGUUGUGGGGGAAGAGCUGCCUGUGCGUCAUCUGUCCUCUGAGUUGGCAGCCCAGGGGGACCAGGGCUCCCUGUGGGCAGCCCAGGCCUGGGGAGGAGGUGGAGGCCGGGGGCGCUUUUUGCCUGAGCCCUCUGUGGGGGGUGGGAUGUCUCAGCGUGGCUGUGUGGUGUGUCCUUCUCGAGGUUCUCACCUUGGUCAGGGGUGUGCUGGCAGCUGGUGUCGUCUCAGGGACCAGGGACCUCACAGCACUUUGCACAGGGAGCUCCCAAAUACGUCCCAGGGAAUGAAAGACAGCACUCAGAGGGUGAGCUGGGGUGCGCGGCAGGGCGAGGGGCCCACCGCUUUCUCUUUCGGUGGGUCACAGGCACCUCCUCUGAAGGCCGAGGGCUGCUGUUGCCCGGCCGGGGGACCCUGAGAGCUGGGGCUAGACUCUCAGCUCGCUGGGAUGCUCACAGAGAUGUGAAUGGACGAGUUAUAAAUGAUGAGAGGCUGUAGGGGUGGGGCAUGGGAGGAGAGGUAUGCGGUGGGGCGAGCUCAGGACUGACGGUCACCCGCUGGUGGAGUCUAGCCCAGGACCCCUUGAAUCGCAGGUCUGACUCACCACCUCAGAACUGAGGCCAGCUCUGGAGCUGAGGCUGGAAGCCCAGGGUUGGGGCAGGACGGUGCUGGGGGUCCAUCUGAGCCAGCUCAGGUUCCCUGCUCGCCCAGAGGUGACGGAGCAUGAUGGAGAGGCAGAGGCCUUGGGUGACUCAGUCUCAGCUGGAGACCGAGGCCCUGCCACUGGCCUCUCUGGGCCUCAGGCUCCUCAUUUGUAAAGAAUGGGAAUGCUAGUACCUUGGGGGGCCUCUGUGAACCCAUAUGUGAAGGUGCCUGGCACAUGGCAGUGCCCCGGGAGGGUCAGCUCCUUUCCUCCUUCCGCUCGCUCUUUGUCCCCCAGGCUGUCCUGGCACUUUCGAAGCUGGGUAAACAAGGACUGUGGGAGGGGCUCCCUCUGGCUGGCCCAGCCUAUGGAGACUGGAGACACUGCUCAGGGCCUGCCCUCCCCAUGUCUGUGGGUCACAGACAGGCUCACCUGGCCACCAACAGCACAGAGCCACCACGUGUUGCCCACAUGGCUGUGCCCUCUUCCCACCUGCAGCAGCCACCUUGGUGCCAAGGCUUUUGACUAGGGGGACAGGAGCGGCUUCCUUGGUCCCCCUGAUACCCAGCUGUUCCCUGGGGGGCCCAGGGAACAGUGUAUGGGUCUAUGCAAGGACCUAGUCCCCCAGAGGGGCUCUGAGCCUUGUCCAUUGGAGCAUCAGGUGAAGUCUCUUCUGGGUGGGUGGCACCUGCAUUCCCAGCUGGUGAAUGUCCAGGAGAGAAGGUGUCAUGUAAUCUCCCUCACCUUCCGGCCCUGGCCCUCGUGUCCCAUGGUUUGAGAGUCGCUUUACUGGGAUAAGCGUUGGCUUCUCUUAGCAAUGCCUUAGUGCUGGCCCUGAAGUGGUCGUUAGAAGCCAUCUAGAGCAUGCCCUCACUUUACAGAUGAGGAAACCGAGGCCCAGAGGGCAAGGCACAGCCCAAGGGGACACUGUGGGGGUCAGGAGGGGUGAGGGACAGAGAAUUAAUUCAACAGAUGCUUGUUGAGCACUCGCUGUGCACCAGGCAUGUGCGGGUGCUGAGGAAGCCACAGCCUUGUCCUGGAGGGCACGUGACCCGUCAGAACGUCCCAGGACCCAGAGCUGCGGGGUUCGGGGGCAGAGCUGGUGGGAGGAGGUGGGCAGUGGCGCUUCCAGGUCACUGUGGGCACCACCUAUGGGCUGUAGCCCCCCAGGGUGAGGGACUUAGCCUUUUGUGCUUCCUUUUUGUUUGUCUGUGCUUUUUAAAUCUGCUAUGAGGUGAAGAUAGUAAUUGCAUGGCACACGUAGAGUUGUUGUGAGUUCAUAUAUGAGACGUGUUUGGAAUGGUGCCUGGUACACAGUAAGCGCCAUGUAAGUGCUGGUUAUUAUCACUCUGGCAGCGGCCUCCCUUGCCUCUGGAGCCUUUGGUUUGGACGUAUUGACCAGAUACCUUCCUCCGGGGAAGUGCUGGAGAGGAACAGCCUUGCUGGGAGGGGUGGGGGAGGCGGGGGCUGGAGGUGUCGCCUGCUCCCCCUGCCUGGAGCUGGGGAGAGCCGGGCAAAGGGGAAGCUGGCCAGGACCAGCCAUGCUCUGGUCAGGGCUGGCCGCUGCCUCCAGGGACACAGAGUUGCAGGGCACAGAAUUGCCUGGGCUGGGGGGAUGCUGGCCCUGCAGGGCUCCCUGGCCCAGGGGAGGAAUGGAACUGGGGGUGGUGUAGGGGUUGGGGGGCACGAGGUUCUUCCCUUUUAAAUUACAAAAGCAUCUAUGCUCCAUGUCACAAGUUCAAAAAUCACAGGAACAUAUAAAAUAAACAUGAAAGUCUCCCCUAAAACCCUUUCGACCCCUUCAACUCUCUUCAACUCCUUUUCCAAAACCUGCUCCUCAAGAUUAAACACCAUUAACAAUCUAAAUUGCAUCCUUUCUAGACCUUUUUUAUGUUUUAAUAACCUAAAUAUACACACAUAAAUACCAUUUUGCUUUUUAAAAAAGGAAAGACAAUUACGUAAUAUUACACACAUCGUUCUGCAACCUGACUUUUCCCACCUAACGAUGCGUCUUGGAAAUCCUCCCACAUCCCACCCAUGGGCUCCUCCACCAUCUUCCCCGUGUGGAGCAUCCCAUAGCCUGCACGUACCAGGAUUUAACCCUCUCCCCAGUAAUGGGCGUUCGAGUGGUUUUCAAUCUUGUGCUGUUACUAACAGGGCUGCCACAACAUCCUUGUACGUACAUCUUGUGUCCACAUGCAAGGGUUUCUGAGGCUCAAUCCUGCAAGAGGAAUGGUGGAGUGAGAGAGGACAUGCAUUUAAGAUUGUGAGCCUAACGUGAUUGUGAGGCCUAGCUUUAGGGCAUGCUGAUGCAAACCCCCAUAUGUGUACCUGCAAGUUCAGGGACCAGGAGAGUCAUGUGGUAUGCGGAGCACAGUGCCUGUGAUCCAGGUCCCCACCACAUUCUCAAGGCUGGGGGGACGCGUAGUGACCCCCCAGCACACUUACUGCUCCUCUGCCUCCCUCACAUGAGCCUCAGUGCCGCCCUGCAACCCUACUGAAUGUCCCUAGUGGGUUCAUCUCCUCUCUCGCUUCUAGGCAGCCAUUUUGUACCUUGCUCUUCCUGGAGCCUCUUCACUCUCAGCUGAUGACCUCACUUCCUGUCCCUCCGAGAAAAUAGAAGCCACCAGGAGAGAAUGUCCAUAACCACCCACUACCACAGCCACACACCUGCCUGCAUCAGUGCCCGAGUCCUCUGCCUCUUUCCUGGAGCCAAGGCAGCCCCUCUACUCUGCACAACCAGAUCUUUUUAAAAAAUUAUUUUUGAGAUAUAAUUCACAAAGCAUAAAAUUCAUUUUUAAAGUGUAAAAUUCCUAUUUUAGCAUUUAGAAUUCAUAAUUCAAAUUUUAGCAUUUUCACAGAGUUGUACAACCAUCACCACUAUCUAAUUCUAGAACAUUUUCAUCACCCCAAAGUGAAGCCGCAUGCCCGGCCACCCCCAUGCUCCUUCCCCCAGCCCCCGGCAGCCACUCAUCUCCUUUCUCUAUGGAGAGGUUUAUUCUCUAUGGAUUCAACUCUUUUGGACAUUUCAUAUAAAUGGAAUCAUACACUACGUGGCCUUUGGCUUCUUUCACUCAUCAUGUUGUUGCCGAGGUUCAUCCAUGUUGUAACAUGUAUCAGUGCUUCCCUGCUUUUUAUAACUGAAUACUAGUCCAUUGCAUGCACAGACUACAUUUGGUUUAUCCACUCAUUAGCGGAUGGACAUUUGGGUUUUCACUUUUUGCCUAUGAUGAACAAUGUUGCUGUGAACAUUUGCGUACACAUGUUUGUGUGCCUGUAUGUCUUUAUUUCUCUUGGGUGUAUACCCAGGGGUGGAAUUGCUUGGCAUUUGGUAACUCUAUAUUUAACUUUCGGAGGAACUGCCAAACUGUUUUGCAAAGUGGCUGCACCAUUUGACAUUCGCACCAGUAACGUACAAGAGCUUUAAUUUCUCCACAUCCUCGUCGAUGCUUAUGCCUGUCUUUUUGAUCCUACCCACCUGGGUGGGUGUGAGGUGGUGUCUUCCUGGGACGAACGACCAGAUCUCAUCCCUUCUCGCCUGCUGGAGGACAGCGUUCCCCUGAUUCUCCCUCCCCUCUUCUUCAACGGGGUUUCCCUGUAUCCAGUCACCCCAGCAGCAUGCAAGCAGGUUCUUAUUUUUUCCCACCUUAAAAAACCCCAAAGCUCUCUUGACUUCAGUCUCCGUCCAGCCGCCUUGCCAUCUCUCUCCUCCCUUUUACAACAAAACUCCGUGGAAGGAUUGCCCUGACUUGUCUCCAGGUUCUCUCCUUUCAUUGUCUCUUGUGCUUACUCCCAUCAGGCUUUUGUCCCCACCCUGUCACCAGAACUCUUCUUCAAGGUCACCGGUGACCUCUGCAUUGUUGAAUCCAAUAGCCUUUCUCAGCCCUGUCUUAAGGAUCCACAGCUUUUGACACGGUUGCUCAUUCCUUCCUCUUUCUUGACUUGGGUUCCUGGUUCCCCCUCCUUCGCUCCCACCUCCCCCUCACUUUCCUGCUUUUCCUCAGCAUCUUCCUGACCUCAGAAAGUUAAGGGGUUAGGGACUCCAUCCUUGGUCCCUUCAGUUUUCCUUCUGCCCUCUUGGAUCUCAUCCAGUCUCACGACUUUAAGUGUUGCCCAAGUGCUGAUGCUCCCAGAUUGUAGCUCCAGGCAGGACAUCUCCCCUGAGCUUCAGACUCAUUUAUCCCACCACCCUUGGGACAUCUAAUAGGCAGCUCUGACCCAACAAGUCCCAAAUGAAGCUCCCUGUUCCUCCCUUUGAACUCGUCAAUUCCACCUGUCAGUAAGAGCAACACCAUUCUUUCUGCAAUUUAGAACAAAAUCUUGGAGUCAAAGAUGACGCCUCUCUUUCUCCCACACUCCAGCAAAUCCUGCCUCUUCUCCUCACCCACCGCCUCAGCUACCCCGGGGCCAAACCACUGCCAUCUCCUGUUUGGACAGUGGUUGCAGCCAUGGUCCCUGUUUCCACCCUUGACUUACACAGUCUAUUUUAAACGCAGUGCCCAGAGAGAUCUUGUUAAAAGGCAAGCUGGGCUACGCCAUUCCUUAGCUCAGAACCCUGCGAUGAAGCCUGUUGUCAUGGGGUCAAAGCCCUUGCAAUGGCCUCUGAGCUCCUACAGAAUCUGGUCUCCCCUCUUACACUCUUGCACCCCUCCGCUUAAUCCUCACUGGCCCUUUUCUGUUCCUCAGACACAGCAGGCAUGACUCUACCUAUGCACCUGCUGUUCCCUCUGUCUGGAAUAUUCUGGGCCAGAAAUCUACCUGACACUCUCCUUGUGUCCUUCCAGACUUUACUCAAUUGUCACUGCUUCAGUGAGGUCGUGUUGGACCGCUCUACCUAAAACCCAAACCUCUCAGAGGCUCCCUGUCUGCUUACUGGUUUAUUUUCCUCCUUGUGCUUACCCUCAACGUUCUGUCUAUUGUGUGUGUUGUCCUGGUUUAUUAUUUGUUUCCUCACUAGAAUGUGAAGCAGAGUGAGGGCAGGCUUUUAGUCUGUUUUGUUCGCUACUGUAUACUCAGCUCCUAAAAUACUGACUGUCGUGCAGUAGGUGCUGAAUAAAUAUUUGUGGAACGAAUGAAUGGAUGUCAAUAGUCUGGAAGUUCUUCCCGAUGCUGAAGAACAGCCUCCACCUGCUAUGCCAUGUACAGCCAGCAGGUGGCACUGUGACCACAGAAAUCGCAGGCCCCUGGCUCCCCAGCAGCUUUUCUCAGAAAUCUGCCUCCAUAGAUGC
Long non-coding RNA from Equus caballus (horse), 9391 nucleotides. The record is from Ensembl. NCBI's taxonomy places the organism in Eukaryota, Metazoa, Chordata, Mammalia, Perissodactyla, Equidae.